AGAAGGAGAAGCAAUGCAGCAAAAAAAAAAAUGAAAUAAAAAGAUCAAAAUGUAGACUUCUUCAGAUGACUUCCUGUUGCAAUCAUUUUUGUUAUUAU
This 98-nucleotide non-coding RNA is filed under the name Oxyrrhis marina. Lineage: Eukaryota; Dinophyceae; Oxyrrhinales; Oxyrrhinaceae. The record is from RNAcentral.